AGUCUCUUCUGCGGUUCUGCAGCUUCUGCCUCUUUUCCUCUCUUCACAAGCAAGCUUAUUAUGCGCAAUAGGAGGCUGGAGACGAGCCAUGAUUGUUUGGUGCAGUCGAUCCUUAUCUGUUAUUGGAUGAGCAAAACCAUAUGCUGCUGCUGAAACAAUCCAAGCCUGAGGGAAAAGAGGAGAGUGAAGAGCUGAAAAGCCUGGGCCUAUUAUAUCGAAAGAUCGGUGUCUAAACUUCCUUUAGUUGGCCUCGUCAGGCCUGGGAAGUAGGUUUUCUCUGGGACUCUGGAAGACCAGAGGCUGAUCUGGGCAAAAGGAGAAAGAGUCCAGAUCUGAUCAUGUUCUGUGUGCAAUUUCAAAGAUUUAAGAGUGAUCUGGAGUGGGCGCUACACUGCUACUGGUAUUGCGUGCAAACUUAGGGAAGGAAGGUAUCCAACUUGAUUAUUAUAUGUAUUUUACUCGCAGGAGCUGCUGAGAUUGUUAAUGAUGGGUCUGAGCCUCUGAGGUGUUGUGCCAAAUGAAAGGCUCAUUGGGUUGACUGCUUCUUUCACAGGUAAAGUUUGCAUAUUUUUCUUCUUGAUCUAUGAAUUUACAUAAUUAUGUCUUGAUUAUUUGCAAUUGAUGAUAUUAUUUUGUGGGUUGCAAGGAAGAUGGAGUUGUUGGGAUUGUUAAAGAUGGUCUGAGGUGUUGUGCCGAAUGAAAGGGUCUCGGUUGGGUUGACUGCUCCUUUCCCAGGGCAUUUUGGAGUCUUGUUAGAACUCCAAACCUUAUAUCUGGACUUUUUGAAACCCAGAAGAAGCAUAAAGUAAUUGGACGAACAGAACAGGGAUUAAUUUUUUUUGUUUUUAUUUUUUAUGUCUUUCAAUUUUGUGUUGGUUAAUGUUUUGCUCAUUUGUCUUUUUAUUUUUUUUAUUAUAUCAAAAAGGCUCCAAUGGCCUUGAAUUCUUCCUAGUUUCCUGAGUAAUUUUGUAAGUAGAAAAUUGGGUGAGUAAGGGGUCUAAAAGGGCAGCAAAAAGAGAGAACUAUAGCAAUUGGAGUAAUUUUUGUUAGUAGAAAAUAGGGUGAGUAAGGGGCUUAGAAGGCUAGAAAAAGAGAGAGAACUAAAUUAUCGAAUAGGCAGAGGGAAAAAAAACACCAUUAUUAAAUAAUUUUUAAUUCCAAAAAAAAAAAAACCGAACUGAGACCUGACUGAACCGAACCAGACUGUCGAUACGGGGCUCGGUUUUAGACUCAAAAAUGGAAAAUCGAACUGAACUGAAAUAUAAGUUUGGUUGUUGAUUUGGGCUCAAAAUUGAACCGAUAUGAAGCGAACCCACCCCUAGUAGUCGGUGGAAGAGAAGAAACGGAAAAAGACUGUGGCUGCUGCUGUUUUAGUGAAUGGAAGAGGUUUAAAAUAAUUUAAAAUAAACAGUGAACUUAUGCUAGUAUAUGCCAAAUUCAAGAGAUUUUACAUGAGUGUGUUGAGGAAGCGUGAAUGGCACCGAAGACAAUGCUCACCUAAUUGGAAGAGAUAGGUUGAUCAUGCAAUUUAGGAUUGAACUCCACAGUCAGAUUAUUAUAUAAAUGCAUGCACUAGCUAGCUGACCACCAAAACGUAUUUGUUCUUUUUCAAAUCUUCUUUUGAUACAAGGAUAGAGAUGGAACUCACUUACUUUCUUGUUUUUUUGUUGUGUUUUUUGCCCACUCUACCAGCACAACAAAACCAACAAAUUUACGAUAUUCUCUUUAUGGUCCUACAGAAUCCUUCGACCUUAAAAGGCAAGGCUCCCUGGGGCAUACAUGGUAUUUGGGCAGAAAAACUUGAUCCACUUGUAGGGCCAUCUCCACAAAGGUAUAAGUAUGUGCCAGUUCAAUCGUGUCAAUCAUUUCCUCCAUUUGACCCUAAGAUUAGUCAAAAAAUUACAAAGGCACUCGAUAAAGCUUGGUCGAGUCUUUCGGCUACGUGGCCAAACGUUAAAUUUUGGGAACAUGAAUAUAACAAACACGGUUCAUGUAUCGUAGAUUUAUUACCAACUUCUACGGAUUACCUAAUGAAAGCACUUUACCUGUGGGAGCAACUCAAGUUUGACGAGGUGAUGGGUAAGGGUAAGCAAUUUGAGCCAAAUACACUAUACAAAACCGAGGAUAUUCUUAAGGGCAUCAAAGUUUCACAUAAUGUUCGACCAGAAUUGACCUGUAUCGGUAAUAAACUAACAGAUGUUAGGUUUUGUCAUACAAGAAAUUGGGUAUUGGUAGAUUGCGAGGGCAUCCAAACAU
Long non-coding RNA from Rosa chinensis, 2256 nucleotides. RefSeq lists it as uncharacterized. NCBI's taxonomy places the organism in Eukaryota, Viridiplantae, Streptophyta, Magnoliopsida, Rosales, Rosaceae. The transcript has 7 exons. The record is from RefSeq and is a predicted model, not a curated record.